AUUGAACGCUGGCGGCAGGCCUAACACAUGCAAGUCGAGCGGAUGAAGGGAGCUUGCUCCUGGAUUCAGCGGCGGACGGGUGAGUAAUGCCUAGGAAUCUGCCUGGUAGUGGGGGAUAACGUCCGGAAACGGGCGCUAAUACCACAUACGUCCUGAGGGAGAAAGUGGGGGAUCUUCGGACCUCACGCUAUCAGAUGAGCCUAGGUCGGAUUAGCUAGUUGGUGGGGUAAAGGCCUACCAAGGCGACGAUCCGUAACUGGUCUGAGAGGAUGAUCAGUCGCACUGGAACUGAGACACGGUCCAGACUCCUACGGGAGGCAGCAGUGGGGAAUAUUGGACAAUGGGCGAAAGCCUGAUCCAGCCAUGCCGCGUGUGUGAAGAAGGUCUUCGGAUUGUAAAGCACUUUAAGUUGGGAGGAAGGGCAGUAAGUUAAUACCUUGCUGUUUUGACGUUACCAACAGAAUAAGCACCGGCUAACUUCGUG
This 484-nucleotide ribosomal RNA is filed under the name uncultured bacterium. RNAcentral describes it as "partial 16S ribosomal RNA". It matches the Rfam family "Bacterial small subunit ribosomal RNA", at positions 30 to 507 of the family's 1533-position model. The record is from RNAcentral.